Molecule: ribosomal RNA, 492 nt
Filed under: uncultured bacterium
Lineage: Bacteria
Description: partial 16S ribosomal RNA
Rfam family: Bacterial small subunit ribosomal RNA
Source: RNAcentral
AGUGAACGCUGGCGGUAGGCCUAACACAUGCAAGUCGAACGGCAGCACAGUAAGAGCUUGCUCUUACGGGUGGCGAGUGGCGGACGGGUGAGGAAUACAUCGGAAUCUACUUUUUCGUGGGGGAUAACGUAGGGAAACUUACGCUAAUACCGCAUACGACCUACGGGUGAAAGCAGGGGAUCUUCGGACCUUGCGCGAUUGAAUGAGCCGAUGUCGGAUUAGCUAGUUGGCGGGGUAAAGGCCCACCAAGGCGACGAUCCGUAGCUGGUCUGAGAGGAUGAUCAGCAACACUGGAACUGAGACACGGUCCAGACUCCGACGGGAGGCAGCAGUGGGGAAUAUUGGACAAUGGGCGCAAGCCUGAUCCAGCCAUACCGCGUGGGUGAAGAAGGCCUUCGGGUUGUAAAGCCCUUUUGUUGGGAAAGAAAAGCAGCAGGUUAAUACCCCGCUGUUCUGACGGUACCCAAAGAAUAAGCACCGGCUAACUUCGUG